Non-coding RNA from Dipodomys ordii (Ord's kangaroo rat), 160 nucleotides. NCBI's taxonomy places the organism in Eukaryota, Metazoa, Chordata, Mammalia, Rodentia, Heteromyidae. The record is from Rfam.
AUCGCUUCUCGGCCUUUUGGCUAAGAUCAAGUGUAGUAUCUGAACUUGAACACUUUCUGUAAUACAAAGUGGUCACUAGCAGAUGGCCAUUUUCCAGAAUGACAUUCCAGGACCUGCUGCUUGUAACACUUUCAACAGUCUGGCUCCCGGUCCACCAUCC